This 303-nucleotide ribosomal RNA is filed under the name uncultured bacterium. RNAcentral's name for it is "partial 16S ribosomal RNA". It matches the Rfam family "Bacterial small subunit ribosomal RNA", at positions 507 to 808 of the family's 1533-position model. The record is from RNAcentral.
AGCAGUAGCCACGGUAAUACAGAGGGUGCGAGCGUUAAUCGGAUUUACUGGGCGUAAAGCGUGCGUAGGCGGCUUUUUAAGUCGGAUGUGAAAUCCCUGAGCUUAACUUAGGAAUUGCAUUCGAUACUGGGAAGCUAGAGUAUGGGAGAGGAUGGUAGAAUUCCAGGUGUAGCGGUGAAAUGCGUAGAGAUCUGGAGGAAUACCGAUGGCGAAGGCAGCCAUCUGGCCUAAUACUGACGCUGAGGUACGAAAGCAUGGGGAGCAAACAGGAUUAGAUACCCCUGUAGUCCCUGUCUCUUUACA